This 490-nucleotide ribosomal RNA is filed under the name uncultured bacterium. Its description in RNAcentral is "partial 16S ribosomal RNA". It matches the Rfam family "Bacterial small subunit ribosomal RNA", at positions 28 to 507 of the family's 1533-position model. The record is from RNAcentral.
GACGAACGCUGGCGGCAGGCCUAACACAUGCAAGUCGAACGGUAACAGGAAGAAGCUUGCUUCUUUGCUGACGAGUGGCGGACGGGUGAGUAAUGUCUGGGAAACUGCCUGAUGGAGGGGGAUAACUACUGGAAACGGUAGCUAAUACCGCAUAACGUCGCAAGACCAAAGAGGGGGACCUUCGGGCCUCUUGCCAUCGGAUGUGCCCAGAUGGGAUUAGCUAGUCGGUGGGGUAACGGCUCACCUAGGCGACGAUCCCUAGCUGGUCUGAGAGGAGGACCAGCCACACUGGAACUGAGACACGGUCCAGACUCCUAAGGGAGGCAGCAGUGGGGAAUAUUGCACAAUGGGCGCAAGCCUGAUGCAGCCAUGCCGCGUGUAUGAAGAAGGCCUUCGGGUUGUAAAGUACUUUCAGCGGGGAGGAAGGGAGUAAAGUUAAUACCUUUGCUCAUUGACGUUACCCGCAGAAGAAGCACCGGCUAACUCCGUG